AUAUGCUUGCCACCGGGUAAGCGUAAAAUAAAAAGUGCCGAAAGUACUUCGUUAGGUCGUAGAAGAAGUGCUUCUGGCACUUUUUUUGUU
This 90-nucleotide non-coding RNA is filed under the name unclassified sequences. The record is from RNAcentral.